GGGGUAUGGGAGCUUGCUUUCCAGAGACCGGCGCACGGGUGAGUAACGCGUAUGCAACCUGCCUUUUACUGGGGGAUAGCCCAAAGAAAUUUGGAUUAAUACCGCAUAAUAUAAUUGAACCGCAUGGUUUGGUUAUUAAAGCUUCGGUGGUAAAAGAUGGGCAUGCGUAGCAUUAGUUUGUUGGUGAGGUAACGGCUCACCAAGACUAUGAUGCUUAGGGGGUCUGAGAGGAUAGUCCCCCACACUGGUACUGAGACACGGACCAGACUCCUACGGGAGGCAGCAGUGAGGAAUAUUGGUCAAUGGGCGCAAGCCUGAACCAGCCAUGUCGCGUGCAGGAUGACGGCCCUAUGGGUUGUAAACUGCUUUUUUACAGGAAUAAACUUUACUACGUGUAGUGAACUGAAGGUACUGUAAGAAUAAGGAUCGGCUAACUCCGUGCCAGCAGCCGCGGUAAUACGGAGGAUCCAAGCGUUAUCCGGAUUUAUUGGGUUUAAAGGGUCCGUAGGCGGGCUUUUAAGUCAGUGGUGAAAUCCCGGAGCUCAACUCCGGAACUGCCAUUGAUACUGAAGGCCUUGAAUUUAGUUGAGGUGGGCGGAAUACGUUAUGUAGCGGUGAAAUGCAUAGAUAUAACGUAGAACACCGAUUGCGAAGGCAGCUCACUAAGCUAACAUUGACGCUGAUGGACGAAAGCGUGGGGAGCGAACAGGAUUAGAUACCCUGGUAGUCCACGCC
RNAcentral lists this ribosomal RNA (735 nucleotides) under bacterium enrichment culture. RNAcentral describes it as "bacterial SSU rRNA". It matches the Rfam family "Bacterial small subunit ribosomal RNA", at positions 66 to 801 of the family's 1533-position model. The record is from RNAcentral.